Molecule: ribosomal RNA, 585 nt
Filed under: uncultured bacterium
Lineage: Bacteria
Description: partial 16S ribosomal RNA
Rfam family: Bacterial small subunit ribosomal RNA
Source: RNAcentral
UGGGGAAUUUUGGACAAUGGGCGAAAGCCUGAUCCAGCAAUGCCGCGUGUGUGAAGAAGGCCUUCGGGUUGUAAAGCACUUUUGUCCGGAAAGAAAUCCUUGGCUCUAAUACAGUCGGGGGAUGACGGUACCGGAAGAAUAAGCACCGGCUAACUACGUGCCAGCAGCCGCGGUAAUACGUAGGGUGCAAGCGUUAAUCGGAAUUACUGGGCGUAAAGCGUGCGCAGGCGGUUUGCUAAGACCGAUGUGAAAUCCCCGGGCUCAACCUGGGAACUGCAUUGGUGACUGGCAGGCUAGAGUAUGGCAGAGGGGGGUAGAAUUCCACGUGUAGCAGUGAAAUGCGUAGAGAUGUGGAGGAAUACCGAUGGCGAAGGCAGCCCCCUGGGCCAAUACUGACGCUCAUGCACGAAAGCGUGGGGAGCAAACAGGAUUAGAUACCCUGGUAGUCCACGCCCUAAACGAUAUCAACUAGUUGUUGGGGAUUCAUUUCCUUAGUAACGUAGCUAGCGCGUGAAGUUGACCGCCUGGGGAGUACGGUCGCAAGAUUAAAACUUAAUGAAUUGACGGGGUCAUAGCUGUUUCCAU